Long non-coding RNA from Lolium rigidum, 329 nucleotides. RefSeq lists it as uncharacterized. The record is from RefSeq and is a predicted model, not a curated record. Lineage: Eukaryota; Viridiplantae; Streptophyta; Magnoliopsida; Poales; Poaceae. The transcript is spliced from 3 exons.
GCAGCCGUCAAGAUGUGGUGACUUGCCUUGAGAUCAUGAAAACCAGAACGGAAUUUGAACAUGUUAAGGAAAUGCCGCCAUUGGGUAUCAUCCUCUACAGAGAUCUUAUGGAAACCACAUGGAGUUGUGACAGGCUGUUGCCCUGGAAGUUUGGUGAUGUUCCUUUUGAAUUCUAUUUGGUUUAUCUCAAUGAGUACUUCUACCGAAAUACUCAUGCAAUCAACGUGCGUGCUGCAGCCCGUACUUGUCUGGAGAUGGAGGACAAGCUGAGUUGCGCAGGAGUUUUGACUGCUGAUGUUGAUGCACUGAGAAAAAUUAUCAAGGAACGA